GAACAACUUGAGGUUCAACGGGUAAUUGUGAUACAGGCAUCGCCUUGUCUCCUAACUUCCUUUUCAAAAGAGAAACAUGGAAAACCGGAUGAAUCUUAGACCCUAUAGGCAAUGACAAUUGAUAAGCCACUAUCCCAACCUUUUUAGUAACUUGAUACGGCCCAAAGUAUCUCGCCCCAGUUUCUAAUUUAGCCUAUUUUCCACUGAAAGUUGUUUGGAUGGGUGAUGCUUUAGGAAGACCCAGUCACCUUCAGUAGAAGAUCUUUCAGUUCUAUUCUUAUCUGCAUACAUUUUCAUCCUAGCACUUGCCUGUGAGAGGUUUUCCUUCAACUGUUGGUUGAGUUUGUAUCUUUGUUGUAGUCGGUCCUCUACUGCUGCCACAUUAGAUUGUUGGUAGGGACCAAGUGCCAAGUGUGGUGGUUUGAUCCCAUAUAGAGCUUCAAAUGGUGUCAUUCUAAUUGAAGAAUGGUAGGUGGUGUUGCAUCACUAUUCAGCCAGUGAUAGCCAUUUUCCCCAUUGUUUAGGCUAUUGGUAAGUCAUACAUCUGAGAUACAUUUCAAGGCAUUGGUUGACCCUUUCUGUCUGCCCAUCUGAUUGAAGAUGAUAGGCCGUGCUAAGGUGAAGUUGUGUGCCCAGUAACCUAAACAACUCUUGCCAAAAUUAACUUGUAAAUACUUUAUCUCUAUCAGAGGUAAUGCUUCGAGGUAAGCCAUGAAGUUUAAAAAUCGAAUCCAAGAAAAUCUUGGCCACUGUUACUGCUGUAAAUGGGUGUGAGAGAGCCAAAAUAUGGCCGUACUUUGUAAAUCUAUCCACAAUCACCAGUUUAGUAUCCUUGCCCUUUGAGUUCGGUAAUCCCUCAAUGAAAUCCAAACUAAUGUGGCUCCAAGAAUGCAAAGGAACAGGUAAGGGUUGCAGUAGACCAGGGUAGGAAACAUGUUCACCUUUACAUUUUUGGCAAACCUCACAUUGUAACACCUCAGUCCUUAUCUCCUGAUUCAUUCCUGGCCAAUAAAAAUACCGUUUUGCCCUGUGUAUGCUGUUGUGUAUGCCUGAGUGUCCUCCCAAGUGGGAUCCAUGUAUGUUUUGUAUGACUUUGGAUCUGAUUUUUCCUCCUGUACCAAUGUACAUCCUGCCCUUGUAUGUCAAUAUAUUAUUGUUGUAACAGAAGUUGGGAUCAAAAUCGGGGUUGAGUAAUAAGGCUUGGAUCUUAUCUUUAGCAAACACAUCAUCA
RNAcentral lists this long non-coding RNA (1231 nucleotides) under Olea europaea subsp. europaea. The record is from RNAcentral. Lineage: Eukaryota; Viridiplantae; Streptophyta; Magnoliopsida; Lamiales; Oleaceae.